UUAAGAAAGCGUAAUAGCUCACUGGUCGAGUCGGCCUGCGCGGAAGAUGUAACGGGGCUAAACCAUGCACCGAAGCUGCGGCAGCGACACUGUGUGUUGUUGGGUAGGGGAGCGUUCUGUAAGCCUGUGAAGGUGGCCUGUGAGGGUUGCUGGAGGUAUCAGAAGUGCGAAUGCUGACAUAAGUAACGAUAAAGCGGGUGAAAAGCCCGCUCGCCGGAAGACCAA
This 225-nucleotide ribosomal RNA is filed under the name Salmonella enterica subsp. enterica serovar Lubbock. Its description in RNAcentral is "partial 23S ribosomal RNA". It matches the Rfam family "Bacterial large subunit ribosomal RNA", at positions 1124 to 1348 of the family's 2925-position model. The record is from RNAcentral. Lineage: Bacteria; Pseudomonadati; Pseudomonadota; Gammaproteobacteria; Enterobacterales; Enterobacteriaceae.